UCCCUCUGUGCUCGAGCUUUCCUGCGGGGUGACUCUGCUGAGAUGCUGUUUCCAUUAAGGACAAUUGUGGCGAAUAAAGAAGGAAUGAACAAACAAAUGGAAAAAGGGAAGGGGAGGGAGCAGUGGAGCAGAGAGAGCUGCUGCUGGAAGGAGGGUGAUGCUGGCUGUGUCCCCCUGCCCAUGCUUGACUGGGGCCCCUGUCACCCAGCCUGGCAUGGUGGGUAGUGCCAGGGCCUCCUGCAGAACCAGAGUGGUUUGGGGAGUGCUGAUGUUGGAAUUGCUGCUCCAUCCUCCCAGAGGGGUCACAGAGUGUUCACACCAGCCAGGGAACCUGACCCAGCCGAUCCCGUCAGUCAGCACACACAACUCCAGCUCUGAAGUUCACUCUUCCGUCCGUGCCACCAUCCCAAGGAGCACGAUGAUGGAUGAAACCUGUCAGUCCUGCAGCUCUGCCUGCACUGGAUGCGGUAUUUCGGGAAGCAGUCCCUUGCACUGCGCAGGGAAAGCCUUCCAGCCCGAGCUGUGCCAGCACCGGGAGCGGUGGCGGCUGGCACUGCCCGUGGCUGCGGCUCCUCCGCUCCCACGAGCCGCUCCUGCCGCAGCUGCCGGGUGCCAGCGGCCCCAGCCACCCCUCGCUGGAGGUCCUGGACUUCUCCCAGUGACCUGGAGCUGUUUGCCGUGUUCCUGCACAAGACCUAGA
Vidua chalybeata is the source of this 700-nucleotide long non-coding RNA. RefSeq lists it as uncharacterized. NCBI's taxonomy places the organism in Eukaryota, Metazoa, Chordata, Aves, Passeriformes, Viduidae. The transcript is spliced from 3 exons. The record is from RefSeq and is a predicted model, not a curated record.